GAUGAACGCUGGCGGCGUGCCUAAUACAUGCAAGUCGAGCGAACGGACGAGAAGCUUGCUUCUCUGAUGUUAGCGGCGGACGGGUGAGUAACACGUGGAUAACCUACCUAUAAGACUGGGAUAACUUCGGGAAACCGGAGCUAAUACCGGAUAAUAUUUUGAACCGCAUGGUUCAAAAGUAAAAGACGGUCUUGCUGUCACUUAUAGAUGGAUCCGCGCUGCAUUAGCUAGUUGGUAAGGUAACGGCUUACCAAGGCAACGAUGCAUAGCCGACCUGAGAGGGUGAUCGGCCACACUGGAACUGAGACACGGUCCAGACUCCUACGGGAGGCAGCAGUAGGGAAUCUUCCGCAAUGGGCGAAAGCCUGACGGAGCAACGCCGCGUGAGUGAUGAAGGUCUUCGGAUCGUAAAACUCUGUUAUUAGGGAAGAACAUAUGUGUAAGUAACUGUGCACAUCUUGACGGUACCUAAUCAGAAAGCCACGGCUAACUACGUGCCAGCAGCCGCGGUAAUACGUANGUGGCAAGCGUUAUCCGGAAUUUAUGGGCGUAAGCGCGCGUAGCGGUUUUUUAGUCUGAUGUGAAAGCCCACGGCUCAACCGUGGAGGGUCAUUGGAAACUGGAAAACUUGAGUGCAGAAGAGGAAAGUGGAAUUCCAUGUGUAGCGGUGAAAUGCGCAGAGAUAUGGAGGAACACCAGUGGCGAAGGCGACUUUCUGGUCUGUAACUGACGCUGAUGUGCGAAAGCGUGGGGAUCAAACAGGAUUAGAUACCCUGGUAGUCCACGCCGUAAACGAUGAGUGCUAAGUGUUAGGGGGUUUCCGCCCCUUAGUGCUGCAGCUAACGCAUUAAGCACUCCGCCUGGGGAGUACGACCGCAAGGUUGAAACUCAAAGGAAUUGACGGGGACCCGCACAAGCGGUGGAGCAUGUGGUUUAAUUCGAAGCAACGCGAAGAACCUUACCAAAUCUUGACAUCCUUUGACAACUCUAGAGAUAGAGCCUUCCCCUUCGGGGGACAAAGUGACAGGUGGUGCAUGGUUGUCGUCAGCUCGUGUCGUGAGAUGUUGGGUUAAGUCCCGCAACGAGCGCAACCCUUAAGCUUAGUUGCCAUCAUUAAGUUGGGCACUCUAAGUUGACUGCCGGUGACAAACCGGAGGAAGGUGGGGAUGACGUCAAAUCAUCAUGCCCCUUAUGAUUUGGGCUACACACGUGCUACAAUGGACAAUACAAAGGGCAGCGAAACCGCGAGGUCAAGCAAAUCCCAUAAAGUUGUUCUCAGUUCGGAUUGUAGUCUGCAACUCGACUACAUGAAGCUGGAAUCGCUAGUAAUCGUAGAUCAGCAUGCUACGGUGAAUACGUUCCCGGGUCU
RNAcentral lists this ribosomal RNA (1369 nucleotides) under uncultured bacterium. RNAcentral's name for it is "bacterial SSU rRNA". It matches the Rfam family "Bacterial small subunit ribosomal RNA", at positions 28 to 1381 of the family's 1533-position model. The record is from RNAcentral.